This 165-nucleotide ribosomal RNA is filed under the name Symphonia globulifera (boarwood). RNAcentral describes it as "5.8S ribosomal RNA". It matches the Rfam family "5.8S ribosomal RNA". From Rfam's summary of the family: 5.8S ribosomal RNA (5.8S rRNA) is a component of the large subunit of the eukaryotic ribosome. It is transcribed by RNA polymerase I as part of the 45S precursor that also contains 18S and 28S rRNA. Lineage: Eukaryota; Viridiplantae; Streptophyta; Magnoliopsida; Malpighiales; Clusiaceae. The record is from RNAcentral.
AAACGACUCUCGGCAACGGAUAUCUCGGCUCUUGCAUCGAUGAAGAACGUAGCGAAAUGCGAUACGUGGUGUGAAUUGCAGAAUCCCGUGAACCAUCGAGUUUUUGAACGCAAGUUGCGCCCAAAGCCUUUUCGGUUGAGGGCACGUCUGCCUGGGUGUCACGCA